AUGUUUGUUUACAGAGGGAGUACCACAUUGCCGAGACAAAAAGAAAUGUUGCCAGUCCAAAAUGGUACUGUAGUUAAAAACAUCCUAACUUUGACGCCUUGCAGGGUUCAGUUGGAAAAGUUGAUGCUUUUUUCACCAUACCUUAUCCUUGUACCAUUCUUGAUUGUCAAUUUCGUAUGUUCUUGGGACUUGCAAUCAAUCUUUGCUGAAAACAGAGGGAGAGAUGGAUACAGCUGCGAUGCUGAUGGCUCGACAAUCAUUAAAUUGCACCCCCCAGGAGGUGCACUGCGCCGUGCUGCAUCAUCAUGA
Molecule: ribosomal RNA, 309 nt
Filed under: Triticum aestivum (bread wheat)
Lineage: Eukaryota; Viridiplantae; Streptophyta; Magnoliopsida; Poales; Poaceae
Description: partial small subunit ribosomal RNA
Source: RNAcentral